AUUGUUGGGUAGAGGUCGACCGAUGUAUCGGUUUUGCCGAUUAAUCGGCACCGAUAGUUGAUUCCCGGAACUAUCGGUUAUCGGCAAAAAUCCACGCCGAUAGUUUUUCCGGGUUGCGUCAGAGCUGAAGCGGCUGAGAACGGUCCGUUGUCCUUAUACAGUGCGAGAGCCAACAUAUAUAUCUAUGGCAAGAGCCGCCUCUAUAGGCGAAAAUCGCUGUAAAGCACAUGCUUUUGUUUUGACACGUGAUACUGUUAGUUGCAAGGAGAGCGCAAGCUGCCUGGAGAGAGCGCGGUGCACGGACAACGCUGACACUUCAAAUGCACGUUUAAAACACAGACAGCGAAAAGGCACAGGGUGCGAUUUGCCGGGGGGAUGGGGGGAUCCGACUGGAGCGCUUCGAAACAGUGAAUCUUUUUGUGACGCAGUGUUUUACUGAUUCGGAGUUUCAAAAAGCUCUGUUGAUACUUUGCUCACCUUCUCUAUAUAAUAUAUUUGUUGUUUGAAAUGAAAUCAUUACUAUUAUAGGCCUAACUUACGAUGUUUUUAUUAAAUUUGUUAUCACGUAAUACAGCUCCCUUCGUAUUAAAACCAUUUCAUGACGUGA
Paramormyrops kingsleyae is the source of this 607-nucleotide non-coding RNA. The record is from RefSeq and is a predicted model, not a curated record. Lineage: Eukaryota; Metazoa; Chordata; Actinopteri; Osteoglossiformes; Mormyridae.